This 484-nucleotide ribosomal RNA is filed under the name uncultured bacterium. Its description in RNAcentral is "partial 16S ribosomal RNA". It matches the Rfam family "Bacterial small subunit ribosomal RNA", at positions 30 to 507 of the family's 1533-position model. The record is from RNAcentral.
AUUGAACGCUAGCGGGAUGCUUUACACGUGCAAGUCGAACGGCAGCGCGGACUUCGGUCUGGCGGCGAGUGGCGAACGGGUGAGUAAUGUAUCGGAACGUGCCCAGUAGCGGGGGAUAACUACGCGAAAGCGUAGCUAAUACCGCAUACGCCCUACGGGGGAAAGCAGGGGAUCGUAAGACCUUGCACUAUUGGAGCGGCCGAUAUCGGAUUAGCUAGUUGGUGAGGUAACGGCUCACCAAGGCGACGAUCCGUAGCUGGUUUGAGAGGACGACCAGCCACACUGGGACUGAGACACGGCCCAGACUCCUACGGGAGGCAGCAGUGGGGAAUUUUGGACAAUGGGGGCAACCCUGAUCCAGCCAUCCCGCGUGUGCGAUGAAGGCCUUCGGGUUGUAAAGCACUUUUGGCAGGAAAGAAAUGUCGCGGGCUAAUACCCCGUGGAACUGACGGUACCUGCAGAAUAAGCACCGGCUAACUACGUG